CCAGACUCCAACAAAAGUCAGAUUUUGGUUGAAGUCAGAGAGAGGUUGUGAGAUUGCCAUCCCUUGACAUCUUUUUAAAAGUGAAUUGUUUAAUCACUUUUUUUUAAGCUGAUUUCUUAGCCAUCUUGCAGAAAUAUGAGGCAGGGGCACUUAUCCAUUAGGUACAGUAGGUAAGGUAACUAAGCCCAAUGACACCCUUAGCAGCCCAUGAAAAUGGUUUAGUUUCUUUCAUAAAAUGGUGCUGAAGAUAAUGAUAGUUGCAAAGGAAAAAAUACGGUAGACCAAUAUCAUAGUAUGUUACCAAGCAUAGGGCCUAUUAUUGGAAGCUAUUUCCAGUGCUCAGGAUAUUAACAUCUCCUGGAGCGUCUGCAAAACACAUCUUGAAGGCAGAACCAUAGUCCUCAAUUUGGCCUGCCUCUUUUAUUUGACAAUAAAGUUUUAUUUAUUUCUGAGCAUAAGAUUGGGAUUUUAUUUCUAGAAAAAGGGAGAAAAGGUGGAAGGAGGAGGAGGCAGGGAAAAGGUGGAAACUUGCCCAGGCCCAUAGCAGGAGCCCAACACAGGGAACACUUAAGCUUGUGUAGAGUACUUGUAACCAGAAGCCCGGAGGUGGAGCACAGCAGAGGAUGCAAUGUGCCACUGUCGCGGCCAGAGCCCAUGCAGUGUAAACAUUAACAUUCUUGGAUGCACUAAGCACUGGGCUGCGGUCUACACUUGCAUUCUGAGGUGGUGGAGUCAUGGCCAAAAUUUUGGAGUACUUGGACUUUUCUCAAGAAGCGUUGCACUUCUUGUCCGGACCGGGGAUUACCGCAGAUCGCAGCCCAGAGUCUGCGGAGGCGCACCGUUUCAUCAACAGCAGGGACUGAAACUUCAGCCCAGGAGAAGCCAAGAUGGCACCGUUAUCGCACCCUGGGAAUCGAGGACCGGGAAGAACUUAAUGAUGCGAUUCCUCCCGUGAUCUCAGUGAUUGUAUCAGGCGAAAACGAGGAGGGCAAAAUACCGUCCAGAUGUAAACUAGGAGCAGCCGCACCAGCAGCACCAGCAGAAUGCCGUGGUAGUGCGGCAGGCCCUGGCCCCAUGGACAAAGAGAAACUCGUCAGUGGCAGUGGCCACGAACUCAGAAAGCCUGAGGACAGUCAGCAGCUCCUCUGGCUCUUCACUUUCACACUGGUGCAACUACAGGAGCUGAAGAACAUUUUUCAACUCGUUCCAUACCCGGACGUGUUAGGAUCAGAUUCAUCAUUGGACUCCUGGACCUAUCACUGCGGACCUCAAAUGUGCACCUUUUAAGCCCUUUCCUUCACUCCUGACUGAUUGAUUUGGGAUCCACUGCUAAGUCAGACUUUUGAACCAUUGUUCCAGGCAAACUUCUGUUAAAGCUGAUGGAGUCUCCCUCUGUCGCCCAGGCUGGAGUGCAGUGGCGCGAUCUCGGCUCACUGCAACCUCCACCUCCCGGUUUUAUGCGAUUCUCCUGCCUCAGCCUCCCGAGUAGCUGGGACUACAGUGGCCUCAGGGAUAUGGAAUUAAGAUCCACCUGGUGUGAUGAAUAAACCCAGACUCUCAGCAACGCAGGAAAAAAAAAACAAAAACUGGCUGGCGAUCUGGAGUAAAGGAUCCUCACAUCCACGUGAACCAGGAAACUCUGUGCCCAAAUCGACGAAAAAAAAACACUGGGAGAGCCGAACUAAAAGUCUUUUAGCACGGGUACCAGCCCUAGAAUUUCCAGUACACCAGCAGCAGCCUGGAAACCACAUCCUCAUCAAAAGACAGAAAGAAAAAAACUCGAGCCAGCCUGAGAAGGACCCUAUUUUAUGCUGUUAACCACUGAGACUGCCAUCCUCACAGCUGAGAAAGGAUGGACCCACCAUACUCAAGUCAAGAAAACAUCUUCCUCGUCAGAAUCAUGGGUUACUGUACUAGGAUUAAGCCUUACUAAGUUAAAGUUAAAGAAAGCUUAAUUUUCAUAUACCUUCUAUAUUGCUUCUUUUCCUUUCCUUAUUCUGUUACUAGCUCCUUUGUUAUUAAUGUAACUAAGUCUGAGUCACCUCAGACCAUUGCCUUUUAUGCUUGCUCUGUCAUACCUUGUGGAAAUGUAAAAGAUCAAUGACAGCUAGCCUUUUCACACAAUUAUUUAUGCCUCGGCCCUCUAAUUGACACAGUUACCCCUAGCACUCAUCGUUGUGAUCACCUGCAGCCAAGACGCUGAUUUUCUGCUCCUAUAGCCUGGCAACCUUGUGGUACAUGGGACUACGUCCUUUAAACUACCCAGGAGCAAAGUUGGACUUCCAUGAAAAAGGUUUGUGCAGAUCUAAAACCUCUCAUCUAUUUCACUAAAAGGACUUCCCCUUCUAACUGUCACCCUUACCAAUGUAACCCUGUCCUCUCUAUCACCACCUCCACCUGUCUUUAACUAACUCUAGACCUGUCCUUAAUUGCUUUUAUGGUAUUGGAAUAGGAAUUAAAAGAAAUUAAAGAAUGUGUAAGGAGAAACUCAGUUGUAUGUAAGAAAACCCAAUUCCCCCUGAGAAAGAGAAAGAGUUGGAGUCCUUUAAAAAUUAACUGCCUGUUUUUCUGUGGCUAGUGAGCCUUAUCUCUCCUCCUUUCCCAGACAUUGUGAAGACCCUGUUUCUCUAGCUGUGCAGCUGCAAGGUCACUAGACAGAUAAACUCAAGUUGUAAAACAUGUUUUUCCUUGAAAAGUAAGAAAUGCUGUAAUGCAUUUCUCAAUUAAUUAAAUAACUGUCUUUGUUUCUCGCUUCUGUAAUAUGCUUCCCCCUGCACAGAUCUCCACCCACCCUACAAAAUGCUUAAAAGGUAACUUAACUCUUUGUUCUGGGCUCAGUCCUUUGGGCUGAGUACUGGGCCGGUGCACCUAA
Molecule: long non-coding RNA, 2872 nt
Filed under: Homo sapiens (human)
Lineage: Eukaryota; Metazoa; Chordata; Mammalia; Primates; Hominidae
Description: HSALNT0408588
Source: RNAcentral